GACGAACGCUGGCGGCGUGCCUAAUACAUGCAAGUCGAACGCACAGUUUAUACCGUAGCUUGCUACACCAUAGCCUGUGAGUUGCGAACGGGUGAGUAACGCGUAGGUAACCUGCCUGGUAUCGGGGGAUAACUAUUGGAAACGAUCGCUAAUACCGCAUAAUAUUGAUUAUUGCAUGAUAAUUGAUUGAAAGAUGCUAUUGCAUCACUACCAGAUGGUCCUGCUUUGUAUUAGCUAGUAGGGGAGGUAACGGCUCCACUAGGCGAAGAUACAUAGCCGACCUGAGAGGGGGGACGGCCACACUGGGACCGGGGAACGGCCCAGAACCCUUCGGGAGGGAACAGUAGGGGAACUUCGGCAAAUGACGAAAGGCUGACCGGGCAACGCCGCGGGAGUGAAGAAGGUUUUCGGAUCGGAAAGCUCUGUUUUAAGAGAAGAACGGGUGUGAUAGUGGAAAGUUCACACUGUGACGGUAUCUUAUCAGAAAGGGACGGCUAACUACGUG
This 505-nucleotide ribosomal RNA is filed under the name uncultured bacterium. RNAcentral's name for it is "partial 16S ribosomal RNA". It matches the Rfam family "Bacterial small subunit ribosomal RNA", at positions 28 to 507 of the family's 1533-position model. The record is from RNAcentral.